CACGUGGGUAAUCUGCCCUGCACUUCGGGAUAAGCCUGGGAAACUGGGUCUAAUACCGAAUAGGACCUUUUGGCGCAUGCCUUUUGGUGGAAAGCUUUUGCGGUGUGGGAUGGGCCCGCGGCCUAUCAGCUUGUUGGUGGGGUGACGGCCUACCAAGGCGACGACGGGUAGCCGGCCUGAGAGGGUGUCCGGCCACACUGGGACUGAGAUACGGCCCAGACUCCUACGGGAGGCAGCAGUGGGGAAUAUUGCACAAUGGGCGCAAGCCUGAUGCAGCGACGCCGCGUGGGGGAUGACGGC
This 300-nucleotide ribosomal RNA is filed under the name uncultured Mycobacterium sp. RNAcentral's name for it is "bacterial SSU rRNA". It matches the Rfam family "Bacterial small subunit ribosomal RNA", at positions 114 to 415 of the family's 1533-position model. Lineage: Bacteria; Bacillati; Actinomycetota; Actinomycetes; Mycobacteriales; Mycobacteriaceae. The record is from RNAcentral.